UACGGGGGGAGCAAGCGUUGUUCGGAUUUACUGGGCGUAAAGGGCGCGUAGGCGGUAGCACAAGUCAGUUGUGAAAUCUCCGGGCUUAACUCGGAAAGGUCAACUGAUACUGUGCGACUAGAGUGCAGAAGGGGCAACUGGAAUUCUCGGUGUAGCGGUGAAAUGCGUAGAUAUCAGGAGGAACACCAAUUGCGAAGGCAGCUCGCUGGGACGUUACUGACGCUGAGACGCGAAAGCGUGGGGAGCAAACAGG
Molecule: ribosomal RNA, 253 nt
Filed under: uncultured bacterium
Lineage: Bacteria
Description: partial 16S ribosomal RNA
Rfam family: Bacterial small subunit ribosomal RNA
Source: RNAcentral